GUUGAUGGUUAGCCCAGCAUCACAUCCCAGCACCGUAAACAGUGCUAUAAAAUGCAGUCAGAUCAUAGCCAGAGGGCUGCAGGGUGCUGCGGGCACAAUGGAGAGUUCUUCCAGCCUCCAGAUUGAGACUCAGCAGGGGUGAGAGAUGAGCCCCCACCCACCAACGAGGAGCAUGUGUGAUGGAUGACCCGAACAGAAACUAAACACACCGUGGGGGCCUUGGAGACACACCAAGGCCACCAGAGCAGGGCAGGCUUUGUUUUUUUUGUUUUUUUGCCUCCGCUUUUCAAAGCACAGAAAAUGUGCGACUAUGACCAAAUGUUCAGGCAUGUUUCAAUUUGCACUCAGCUGCAUCACUCUUCAACAAGAAAUACGUGUCUCCAGCGCCGUACCAAAAGAAUGAGCGGGCCUGCCUAUCCUCCCACUGGAGUAUGGAUCUGGAGCGCAGGGAAAGUUUCCUCCUCUUGUUGCAAGUCUCCCUGGCUGGAACCUGGAGUGACUCAAGACAGAGCCCUCUAAUCCCUCUUCGUCAUCUUCCAGGUGGGAAUUCCUGGUUAGGUGCAGUUAGCCAGUUAGUUUAUUGAUCCACAGCACUUGGACGUGACAUGGGUCACCUGCACUUUCCUCUUCAUAUGCUUCAUCUCUCUUUUCCUCUGUCAGCAGGCACCACAGUGGACGGAUGAACCGACAGACUGCCCUCCCCAUCUCCUCCUCCUCCUACCUCGUGACUAAUCUGUAACCUCUGAGAUCAUCUACUGAAGGGAUGUCAUGGAAAAACCAGCAGCUCGCUAAUAAUCUGAGAAAUCUCUUGUCUGCCCAUCUGUCAAUCAUCCAGGCGUGUGGGGGGAGGGGCACACAUGCACAUCGCAGAGAUGGCGAGGGGGAAUCCUGGUGGUCAGCAGAAGACUAUUCCUGCAAGGGACCUCUUAGAUUACAGCACAAGACCCCCUCAAGUGACUGCUGACAUCCAAACAUCAGG
Long non-coding RNA from Oreochromis niloticus (Nile tilapia), 979 nucleotides. RefSeq lists it as uncharacterized. NCBI's taxonomy places the organism in Eukaryota, Metazoa, Chordata, Actinopteri, Cichliformes, Cichlidae. The transcript is spliced from 5 exons. The record is from RefSeq and is a predicted model, not a curated record.